AUGUCAUGCCCGUUUGAAGUGUACAAGGAAGAUGUUAUGCCUGUGAUGAAAGAGGAGAAAAUAUUCAGGGAUGAAGCACUAAGGCUGUUUCUUGAGGAAUGGAUAGAUGCCAGGUGCAAGAUGGAGGAUAAGCUUGAUCGGGCAUUAGAGAAAUAUCGAAGCUCUAAGGGGGAAGGCUUUCCUAGGAGACAGCGGAUGCCACCAAGGCAGCCACCACUGACCUUAAGGCGGCAUCCUCCAACACCCAAGACAUCGCUGCCUAUGAUGCCAACCAAGUGCUCGACGGCAAGCUUCAAUGAUGGUUGUGCACGCAUGGCAGCGAGCUCAAGCCACACCAAUAAGGUACCUAUUCCUACGGUCACCUUGGAGCUGGGAUAUGGUGACGACAAGGCCCACACACCCUGCAUCGAUACCACGGACUGUUCCAAAGAGACGCACGCCAAGUGUUUGAUGGCUGCACUCAACGUCAAUGGUGGCAGCAACCAAGCUGUGGUCGCGUUCCUGACCAUGACGGACAUGUUUAAGAUCAUUCCAACAUAUGUUGAGCCAAUGGACAUCUUCUCAGCAAGAUCGACCAUUGACCACAAGGAAAACAUACCAAUGCCACAUCGACGAAGAAUGCAUUUGAUGGUGAAUGGGCUCGCAGAAUGCCUCUUGGCAUCUAGCUCCCCAUCGUCGUCGUUGUUCCCUUACUCGCCCUCGCUUGUUGGUCGUGCCGCCGUCUGAGAGGUGGUUG
Molecule: long non-coding RNA, 736 nt
Filed under: Oryza sativa Indica Group (long-grained rice)
Lineage: Eukaryota; Viridiplantae; Streptophyta; Magnoliopsida; Poales; Poaceae
Description: lncRNA OsZS97_01G010690
Source: RNAcentral